This 254-nucleotide ribosomal RNA is filed under the name uncultured bacterium. Its description in RNAcentral is "partial 16S ribosomal RNA". It matches the Rfam family "Bacterial small subunit ribosomal RNA", at positions 524 to 776 of the family's 1533-position model. The record is from RNAcentral.
UACGAAGGGGGCUAGCGUUGCUCGGAAUCACUGGGCGUAAAGGGUGCGUAGGCGGGUCUUUAAGUCAGGGGUGAAAUCCUGGAGCUCAACUCCAGAACUGCCUUUGAUACUGAGGAUCUUGAGUCCGGGAGAGGUGAGUGGAACUGCGAGUGUAGAGGUGAAAUUCGUAGAUAUUCGCAAGAACACCAGUGGCGAAGGCGGCUCACUGGCCCGGUACUGACGCUGAGGCACGGAAAGCGUGGGGAGCAAACAGG